RNAcentral lists this ribosomal RNA (468 nucleotides) under uncultured bacterium. Its description in RNAcentral is "partial 16S ribosomal RNA". It matches the Rfam family "Bacterial small subunit ribosomal RNA", at positions 28 to 507 of the family's 1533-position model. The record is from RNAcentral.
GACGAACGCUGGCGGCGUGCUUAACACAUGCAAGUCGAACGGAAAGGCCCUGCUUUUGUGGGGUGCUCGAGUGGCGAACGGGUGAGUAAAACGUGAGUAACCUGCCCUUGACUUUGGGAUAACUUCUGGAAACUGGGGCUCAUACCGGAUAGGAGAUCCUGCUGCAUGGUGGGGGAUGGAAAGUUUCGGCGGUUGGGGAUGGACUCGCGGCUUAUCAGCUUGUUGGUGGGGUAGUGGCUUACCAAGGCUUUGACGGGUAGCCGGCCUGAGAGGGUGACCGGCCACAUUGGGACUGAGAUACGGCCCAGACUCCUACGGGAGGCAGCAGUGGGGAAUAUUGCACAAUGGGCGGAAGCCUGAUGCAGCAACGCCGCGUGCGGGAUGACGGCCUUCGGGUUGUAAACCGCUUUCGCCUGUGACGAAGCGUGAGUGACGGUAAUGGGUAAAGAAGCACCGGCUAACUACGUG